This is a non-coding RNA of Pocillopora verrucosa, 688 nucleotides long. The record is from RefSeq and is a predicted model, not a curated record. NCBI's taxonomy places the organism in Eukaryota, Metazoa, Cnidaria, Anthozoa, Scleractinia, Pocilloporidae.
CCUUAGAUUUAUUUGAUUCUGAGGUGAAACAAGACAGCAGCUCAGAUGACGAUGGAAAUGUGUUGCGGCAGAAGAAUCUCAGUGACUUGGCAUUCAUGGAAGGCAAACGAAUGAUGCUAGCUGGGGAACACACUUUCUUUGAUAUCAGAGAUCCACUAUUCUGAAGAACAAGCAAAGUAGAGGUGUAUUCUUUAUAUAUCCAAGAGAAGUGUGAUAUAUUGCAAAUUUUAAAUUGAAAUGGAAAUAAUUAUAUGAACUACUUCAGUGUGGCAUAUCACAUAAUUAUGCCUGAAAUGCCAAAUGUGUAUAGUCAUGAACAAGUUUGUAUUUCGAGGUCUAGACACGCUUGAUGCUGAUUAUUUCUGUAGAUGCCUACAAACAGUCAUAACUAAUUUUAAAAGUUAUACCUCACUUCUUGUGUUUUUACAAAAUACUGUGUAUUCAAUAUACAUUACUCUCUUUGGAGAACUUAACAAUUACUGCCUCUAAUGAUGCAGAAUAUUGUCAGUGUUUGGCUGCUAGAACUGAAUAAGCAGAGCUUUAUUUUAUGUAGUUAUUGGCACAAUAUUUAUUCAGUGAAACUGUUGUUAGUUUUAAACUUUUUAAACAUCUCAGUUUUACUUCUGAAGUAUUUCUGAAAUGUACUGAUUUUCACCCCCAAAAUUCAAUAAAGAUUUAUUUAUUACAA